RNAcentral lists this ribosomal RNA (255 nucleotides) under uncultured bacterium. RNAcentral describes it as "partial 16S ribosomal RNA". It matches the Rfam family "Bacterial small subunit ribosomal RNA", at positions 524 to 776 of the family's 1533-position model. The record is from RNAcentral.
UACAGAGGCCCCAAGCAUUAUCCGGAAUCACUGGGCGUAAAGGGUGUGUAGGCGGUCGUAUUAGUCUUUUGUGAAAGCUCUCGGACUCAAUCCGGGAAACGCGGGAGAAACGGUACGACUGAGAGGACGCGAGAGGUAAGAGGAACUCAUGGUGUAGGGGUGAAAUCCGUUGAUAUCAUGGGGAACACCAAAUGCGAAGGCAUCUUACUGGCGCGCUCCUGACGCUGAAACACGAAAGCGUGGGAAUCGAACGGG